This 565-nucleotide ribosomal RNA is filed under the name uncultured Glomeromycotina. Its description in RNAcentral is "SSU rRNA". It matches the Rfam family "Eukaryotic small subunit ribosomal RNA", at positions 548 to 1114 of the family's 1831-position model. Lineage: Eukaryota; Fungi; Glomeromycota. The record is from RNAcentral.
UUGGAGGGCAAGUCUGGUGCCAGCAGCCGCGGUAAUUCCAGCUCCAAUAGCGUAUAUUAAAGUUGUUGCAGUUAAAAAGCUCGUAGUUGAAUUUCGGGGUUAGUAGAUUGGUCAUGCCUCUGGUAUGUACUGGUCUCACUGAUUCCUCCUUCCUGAUGAACCUUAAUGCCAUUAAUUUGGUGUUUUGGGGAAUUUGGACCGUUACUUUGAAAAAAUUAGAGUGUUUAAAGCAAGCUAACGCUUGAAUACAUUAGCAUGGAAUAAUGAACUAGGACGUUCGAUCCUAUUUUGUUGGUUUCUAGGAUUGACGUAAUGAUUAAUAGGGAUAGUUGGGAGCAUUAGUAUUCAAUUGUCAGAGGUGAAAUACUUGGAUUUAUUGAAGACUAACUACUGCGAAAGCAUUUGCCAAGGAUGUUUUCAUUAAUCAAGAACGAAAGUUAGGGGAUCGAAGACGAUCAGAUACCGUCGUAGUCUUAACCAUAAACUAUGCCGACUAGGGAUCGGAUGAUGUUAAUUUUUUAAUGACUCAUUCGGCGCCUUACGGGAAACCAAAGUGUUUGGGUUC